UUUCGAAUUAUUCACAAUGGGCGAAAGCCUGAUGGUGCGACGCCGCGUGAGGGAUGAAGGUCUUCGGAUUGUAAACCUCUGUCACCGGGGAAGAAUGGCUAUGACCUAACACGUCAUGGAUUGACUUAACCCGGAGAGGAAGCAGUGGCUAACUCUGUGCCAGCAGCCGCGGUAAUACAGAGACUGCAAGCGUUAUUCGGAUUCACUGGGCGUAAAGGGUGCGCAGGCGGUUGCGUGUGUUGGAUGUGAAAGCCUGGGGCUCAACCCCAGAAUUGCGUCCAAAACUACGCGACUAGAGUACCGGAGAGGAUAGCGGAAUUCACGGUGUAGCAGUGAAAUGCGUAGAUAUCGUGAAGAACACCAGCGGCGAAGGCGGCUAUCUGGAAGGUAACUGACGCUCAGGCACGAAAGCGUGGGGAGCAAAAG
RNAcentral lists this ribosomal RNA (426 nucleotides) under uncultured bacterium. RNAcentral describes it as "bacterial SSU rRNA". It matches the Rfam family "Bacterial small subunit ribosomal RNA", at positions 355 to 774 of the family's 1533-position model. The record is from RNAcentral.